This 214-nucleotide unclassified non-coding RNA is filed under the name uncultured fungus. RNAcentral's name for it is "partial contains 18S rRNA, ITS1, 5.8S rRNA, ITS2 and 28S rRNA". The record is from RNAcentral. Lineage: Eukaryota; Fungi.
AAGGAUCAUUACAAGUAAUAAGUACACUGUACUCAUUAUAAACCCAUCUGUGUAUCUUACCCGUUGCUUCCGUGGAGUGUGGUCGACUGCCUGGCCUCUGGCCCCUUCGGCCCCCCCACGGGAGGUAUUCAUCAAACCCUUGCAUUGCCAUGACCUCAGUCUGAAAUGUAAACAACAAAAGUUAAAACUUUCAACAACGGAUCUCUUGGUUCUC